GACGAACGCUGGCGGCGUGCUUAACACAUGCAAGUCGAACGGAAAGGCCCUGCUUUUGUGGGGUGCUCGAGUGGCGAACGGGUGAGUAACACGUGAGUAACCUGCCCUUGACUUUGGGAUAACUUCAGGAAACUGGGGCUAAUACCGGAUAGGAGCUCCUGCUGCAUGGUGGGGGUUGGAAAGUUUCGGCGGUUGGGGAUGGACUCGCGGCUUAUCAGCUUGUUGGUGGGGUAGUGGCUUACCAAGGCUUUGACGGGUAGCCGGCCUGAGAGGGUGACCGGCCACAUUGGGACUGAGAUGCGGCGCAGACUCCUACGGGAGGCAGCAGUGGGGAAUAUUGCACAAUGGGCGGAAGCCUGAUGCAGCAACGCCGCGUGCGGGAUGACGGCCUUCGGGUUGUAAACCGCUUUCGCCUGUGACGAAGCGUGAGUGACGGUAAUGGGUAAAGAAGCACCGGCUAACUACGUG
This 468-nucleotide ribosomal RNA is filed under the name uncultured bacterium. RNAcentral describes it as "partial 16S ribosomal RNA". It matches the Rfam family "Bacterial small subunit ribosomal RNA", at positions 28 to 507 of the family's 1533-position model. The record is from RNAcentral.